This 403-nucleotide ribosomal RNA is filed under the name uncultured bacterium. RNAcentral's name for it is "partial 16S ribosomal RNA". It matches the Rfam family "Bacterial small subunit ribosomal RNA", at positions 29 to 526 of the family's 1533-position model. The record is from RNAcentral.
AUUGAACGCUGGCGGCAGGCCUAACACAUGCAAGUCGAGCGGAGCGGGGACGGGUGAGUAACACGUGGGUAACCUCCCAUCAGAGGGGAUAACACUUGGAAACAGGUGCUAAACCGAUACUGAUGGAUGGACCCGCGGUGCAUUAGCUAGGUGGGGGGGUAACGGCUCACCAAGGCCACGAUGCGUAGCCGACCGGGGGGGGUGAUCGGCCACACUGGGACUGGGACCCGGCCCGGACGCCUACGGGAGGCAGCAGUAGGGAAUCUGCGGCAAUGGACGAAAGUCUGACCGAGCAACGCCGCGUGAGUGAAGAAGGUUUUCGGAUCGUAAAACUCUGUUGUUAGAGAAGCGGUAUCUAACCAGAAAGCCACGGCUAACUACGUGCCAGCAGCCGCGGUAAUUC